ACUCCUACGGGAGGCAGCAGUAGGGAAUCUUCCACAAUGGGCGCAAGCCUGAUGGAGCAACACCGCGUGAGUGAAGAAGGGUUUCGGCUCGUAAAGCUCUGUUGUUAAAGAAGAACACGUAUGAGAGUAACUGUUCAUACGUUGACGGUAUUUAACCAGAAAGUCACGGCUAACUACGUGCCAGCAGCCGCGGUAAUACGUAGGUGGCAAACGUUAUCCGGAUUUAUUGGGCGUAAAGAGAGUGCAGGCGGUUUUCUAAGUCUGAUGUGAAAGCCUUCGGCUUAACCGGAGAAGUGCAUCGGAAACUGGAUAACUUGAGUGCAGAAGAGGGUAGUGGAACUCCAUGUGUAGCGGUGGAAUGCGUAGAUAUAUGGAAGAACACCAGUGGCGAAGGCGGCUACCUGGUCUGCAACUGACGCUGAGACUCGAAAGCAUGGGUAGCGAACAGGAUUAGAUACCCUGGUAGGAUAGCG
Molecule: ribosomal RNA, 473 nt
Filed under: uncultured bacterium
Lineage: Bacteria
Description: bacterial SSU rRNA
Rfam family: Bacterial small subunit ribosomal RNA
Source: RNAcentral